Potamilus streckersoni is the source of this 75-nucleotide non-coding RNA. Lineage: Eukaryota; Metazoa; Mollusca; Bivalvia; Unionida; Unionidae. The record is from the annotation of a GenBank genome assembly.
GCUCCUUUGGCCUAGUGGUAGAACGUCCGCCUCAGAUGUGGAAGGUCUCGGGUUCAAACCACGCCGAGUCAAGCG